CAGUCAUGAUGGUCCCCGUGAAACUUAACUCCAGUGUGUCCUGUGACAAAAAUGAGGCCAUGUCUACACGUAGCAGGCCUUUUUAAAAGUAAGACUAAUGCCCAUUGCCCACCCACACCUGGCAUCCUGAGAACACCACUGUCUCAACCACAUCUAUCUCACUGUUCCGUCAGCCACGCGGUUCGUUCAGGAGUGCUGUCAGCAUUGCUGCAGAGAUUGAAGAGGUGGGGGGUCAGCCUGUUAGUGCUCAGACCAUACGCCGCACUCUACAUCAAAUUUGUGUGCAUGGCUGUCACCCCAGGAGAAAGCCUCUUCUGAAGAUGCAAACUGUUUGCGGGCUUUCUUGUCUGCAGAAGAGGAACGUACCGCGUGGCUGACUUGAGAGAGGACUUUUUACUUUUACUUUUCAUGUUUAGCUGCGGCGGACAGUAGGCAUGUUGUGUUGCACAACUUCUG
Corythoichthys intestinalis (scribbled pipefish) is the source of this 456-nucleotide long non-coding RNA. RefSeq lists it as uncharacterized. The record is from RefSeq and is a predicted model, not a curated record. The transcript is spliced from 4 exons. NCBI's taxonomy places the organism in Eukaryota, Metazoa, Chordata, Actinopteri, Syngnathiformes, Syngnathidae.